AACGUAGGUGGCGAGCGUUAUCCGGAUUUACUGGGCGUAAAGGGUGUGCAGGCGGUCUGUUAAGUGGGGUAUGAAAUAUCCCGGCUCAACCGGGAGAGGUUAUGCCAGACUGGCAGUCUAGAGAGCGAGAGAGGGACGUGGAAUUCCUGGUGUAGCGGUGAAAUGCGCAGAUAUCAGGAAGAACACCCGUGGCGAAGGCGGCUCUCUGGGACGGUACUGACGCUGAGACGCGAAAGCGUGGGGAGCGAACAGG
This 253-nucleotide ribosomal RNA is filed under the name uncultured bacterium. Its description in RNAcentral is "partial 16S ribosomal RNA". It matches the Rfam family "Bacterial small subunit ribosomal RNA", at positions 524 to 776 of the family's 1533-position model. The record is from RNAcentral.